RNAcentral lists this ribosomal RNA (330 nucleotides) under uncultured Pseudomonadota bacterium. RNAcentral's name for it is "bacterial SSU rRNA". It matches the Rfam family "Bacterial small subunit ribosomal RNA", at positions 568 to 898 of the family's 1533-position model. The record is from RNAcentral. Lineage: Bacteria; Pseudomonadati; Pseudomonadota.
AACGUAGGCGGUGUUCCAUGUCAGAGGUGAAAGCCUGGGGCUCAACUCCAGAAUUGCCUUUGAAACGGGGACGCUUGAGUCCGAGAGAGGAUGGCGGAAUUCCUAGUGUAGAGGUGAAAUUCGUAGAUAUUAGGAAGAACACCAGUGGCGAAGGCGGCCAUCUGGCUCGGUACUGACGCUCAGGUUCGAAAGCGUGGGGAGCAAACAGGAUUAGAUACCCUGGUAGUCCACGCCGUAAACGAUGAGUGCUAGUUGUUGGGAAGUUUACUUCUCAGUGACGCAGCUAACGCGAUAAGCACUCCGCCUGGGGAGUACGGCCGCAAGGUUAAA